GGGUUGUGAGGUUAAGCGACUAAGCGUACACGGUGGAUGCCCUGGCAGUCAGAGGCGAUGAAGGACGUGCUAAUCUGCGAUAAGCGUCGGUGAGGUGAUAUGAACCGUUAUAACCGGCGAUUUCCGAAUGGGGAAACCCAGUGUGUUUCGACACACUAUCAUUAACUGAAUCCAUAGGUUAAUGAGGCGAACCGGGGGAACUGAAACAUCUAAGUACCCCGAGGAAAAGAAAUCAACCGAGAUUCCCCCAGUAGCGGCGAGCGAACGGGGAGGAGCCCAGAGCCUGAAUCAGUGUGUGUGUUAGUGGAAGCGUCUGGAAAGGCGCGCGAUACAGGGUGACAGCCCCGUACACAAAAAUGCACAUAUUGUGAGCUCGAUGAGUAGGGCGGGACACGUGGUAUCCUGUCUGAAUAUGGGGGGACCAUCCUCCAAGGCUAAAUACUCCUGACUGACCGAUAGUGAACCAGUACCGUGAGGGAAAGGCGAAAAGAACCCCGGCGAGGGGAGUGAAAAAGAACCUGAAACCGUGUACGUACAAGCAGUGGGAGCCUCUUAAUGGGGUGACUGCGUACCUUUUGUAUAAUGGGUCAGCGACUUAUAUUCUGUAGCAAGGUUAACCGAAUAGGGGAGCCGAAGGGAAACCGAGUCUUAACUGGGCGUUAAGUUGCAGGGUAUAGACCCGAAACCCGGUGAUCUAGCCAUGGGCAGGUUGAAGGUUGGGUAACACUAACUGGAGGACCGAACCGACUAAUGUUGAAAAAUUAGCGGAUGACUUGUGGCUGGGGGUGAAAGGCCAAUCAAACCGGGAGAUAGCUGGUUCUCCCCGAAAGCUAUUUAGGUAGCGCCUCGUGAAUUCAUCUCCGGGGGUAGAGCACUGUUUCGGCAAGGGGGUCAUCCCGACUUACCAACCCGAUGCAAACUGCGAAUACCGGAGAAUGUUAUCACGGGAGACACACGGCGGGUGCUAACGUCCGUCGUGAAGAGGGAAACAACCCAGACCGCCAGCUAAGGUCCCAAAGUCAUGGUUAAGUGGGAAACGAUGUGGGAAGGCCCAGACAGCCAGGAUGUUGGCUUAGAAGCAGCCAUCAUUUAAAGAAAGCGUAAUAGCUCACUGGUCGAGUCGGCCUGCGCGGAAGAUGUAACGGGGCUAAACCAUGCACCGAAGCUGCGGCAGCGACACUAUGUGUUGUUGGGUAGGGGAGCGUUCUGUAAGCCUGUGAAGGUGGCCUGUGAGGGUUGCUGGAGGUAUCAGAAGUGCGAAUGCUGACAUAAGUAACGAUAAAGCGGGUGAAAAGCCCGCUCGCCGGAAGACCAAGGGUUCCUGUCCAACGUUAAUCGGGGCAGGGUGAGUCGACCCCUAAGGCGAGGCCGAAAGGCGUAGUCGAUGGGAAACAGGUUAAUAUUCCUGUACUUGGUGUUACUGCGAAGGGGGACGGAGAAGGCUAUGUUGGCCGGGCGACGGUUGUCCCGGUUUAAGCGUGUAGGCUGGUUUUCCAGGCAAAUCCGGAAAACCAAGGCUGAGGCGUGAUGACGAAGCACUACGGUGCUGAAGCGACAAAUGCCCUGCUUCCAGGAAAAGCCUCUAAGCAUCAGGUAACAUCAAAUCGUACCCCAAACCGACACAGGUGGUCAGGUAGAGAAUACCAAGGCGCUUGAGAGAACUCGGGUGAAGGAACUAGGCAAAAUGGUGCCGUAACUUCGGGAGAAGGCACGCUGAUAUGUAGGUGAAGCGACUUGCUCGUGGAGCUGAAAUCAGUCGAAGAUACCAGCUGGCUGCAACUGUUUAUUAAAAACACAGCACUGUGCAAACACGAAAGUGGACGUAUACGGUGUGACGCCUGCCCGGUGCCGGAAGGUUAAUUGAUGGGGUUAGCGGUAACGCGAAGCUCUUGAUCGAAGCCCCGGUAAACGGCGGCCGUAACUAUAACGGUCCUAAGGUAGCGAAAUUCCUUGUCGGGUAAGUUCCGACCUGCACGAAUGGCGUAAUGAUGGCCAGGCUGUCUCCACCCGAGACUCAGUGAAAUUGAACUCGCUGUGAAGAUGCAGUGUACCCGCGGCAAGACGGAAAGACCCCGUGAACCUUUACUAUAGCUUGACACUGAACAUUGAGCCUUGAUGUGUAGGAUAGGUGGGAGGCUUUGAAGUGUGGACGCCAGUCUGCAUGGAGCCGACCUUGAAAUACCACCCUUUAAUGUUUGAUGUUCUAACGUUGGCCCGUAAUCCGGGUUGCGGACAGUGUCUGGUGGGUAGUUUGACUGGGGCGGUCUCCUCCUAAAGAGUAACGGAGGAGCACGAAGGUUGGCUAAUCCUGGUCGGACAUCAGGAGGUUAGUGCAAUGGCAUAAGCCAGCUUGACUGCGAGCGUGACGGCGCGAGCAGGUGCGAAAGCAGGUCAUAGUGAUCCGGUGGUUCUGAAUGGAAGGGCCAUCGCUCAACGGAUAAAAGGUACUCCGGGGAUAACAGGCUGAUACCGCCCAAGAGUUCAUAUCGACGGCGGUGUUUGGCACCUCGAUGUCGGCUCAUCACAUCCUGGGGCUGAAGUAGGUCCCAAGGGUAUGGCUGUUCGCCAUUUAAAGUGGUACGCGAGCUGGGUUUAGAACGUCGUGAGACAGUUCGGUCCCUAUCUGCCGUGGGCGCUGGAGAACUGAGGGGGGCUGCUCCUAGUACGAGAGGACCGGAGUGGACGCAUCACUGGUGUUCGGGUUGUCAUGCCAAUGGCACUGCCCGGUAGCUAAAUGCGGAAGAGAUAAGUGCUGAAAGCAUCUAAGCACGAAACUUGCCCCGAGAUGAGUUCUCCCUGAGACUUAGAGUCUCCUGAAGGAACGUUGAAGACGACGACGUUGAUAGGCCGGGUGUGUAAGCGCAGCGAUGCGUUGAGCUAACCGGUACUAAUGAACCGUGAGGCUUAACCUUACAACGCCGAAG
This 2924-nucleotide ribosomal RNA is filed under the name Escherichia coli. RNAcentral's name for it is "bacterial LSU rRNA". It matches the Rfam family "Bacterial large subunit ribosomal RNA". Lineage: Bacteria; Pseudomonadati; Pseudomonadota; Gammaproteobacteria; Enterobacterales; Enterobacteriaceae. The record is from RNAcentral.